UACGACCAUAUCAUGUUGAAACAUUGGUUUCCGUACGAUCACUGACGAUAAGCAACGUCGAGCCUGGUCAGUACCUAGAUGGGUAACCGCUUGGGAAUACCAGGUGCAGUAAG
Acanthosepion pharaonis is the source of this 113-nucleotide non-coding RNA. Lineage: Eukaryota; Metazoa; Mollusca; Cephalopoda; Sepiida; Sepiidae. The record is from the annotation of a GenBank genome assembly.